Molecule: non-coding RNA, 46 nt
Filed under: Schistosoma mansoni
Lineage: Eukaryota; Metazoa; Platyhelminthes; Trematoda; Strigeidida; Schistosomatidae
Source: RNAcentral
ACACUGCUGAGGAGUCCCAUAAUGGGACGAAACAGUCGUCCAGUGC